AGUGAACGCUGGCGGUAGGCCUAACACAUGCAAGUCGAACGGCAGCACAGUAAGAGCUUGCUCUUACGGGUGGCGAGUGGCGGACGGGUGAGGAAUACAUCGGAAUCUACUUUUUCGUGGGGGAUAACGUAGGGAAACUUACGCUAAUACCGCAUACGACCUACGGGUGAAAGCAGGGGAUCUUCGGACCUUGCGCGAUUGAAUGAGCCGAUGUCGGAUUAGCUAGUUGGCGGGGUAAAGGCCCACCAAGGCGACGAUCCGUAGCUGGUCUGAGAGGAUGAUCAGCCACACUGGAACUGAGGCACGGUCCAGACUCCUACGGGAGGCAGCAGUGGGGAAUAUUGGACAAUGGGCGCAAGCCUGAUCCAGCCAUACCGCGUGGGUGAAGAAGGCCUUCGGGUUGUAAAGCCCUUUUGUUGGGUAAGAAAAGCAGCAGGUUAAUACCCCGCUGUUCUGACGGUACCCAAAGAAUAAGCACCGGCUAACUUCGUG
This 492-nucleotide ribosomal RNA is filed under the name uncultured bacterium. Its description in RNAcentral is "partial 16S ribosomal RNA". It matches the Rfam family "Bacterial small subunit ribosomal RNA", at positions 29 to 507 of the family's 1533-position model. The record is from RNAcentral.